UUAUGGUGCAAGGGCAACAGCACAAUUAUGUCUCUUUGCAGCAGUCAUUGUCAUCUGUAAAAGUGAAGCACGGUGGAAACAAAGUUGGACCGGAGCCUCAAAGAAUCUUUGGUUCUCCCCUUGAUAUAGUCACCAAGGAUACGACACACCAGUCUGUCCCAUUAGUUGUCCAACACACAGUGGAAUAUUUAGAAGAGUUUGGGCUAAAUCACAAAGGCCUGUUUCGGAUCAGUGGAUCAGCAGCCAAAAUCAGGGCGCUUAGAUUAAAAUAUGAUCAAGGAGAAGAAGUUGAUCUUGUUAAGGAAGGAGAUAUCAACUCUGUUGCCAGCCUCCUUAAAGUAUUCCUGAAUCAGCUUCCAACUGCGGUUUUCCCGGAGAAACUCUGCACUGAUAUUUCAGCCAUUUUUGAAGCGAAUAAAAACUGCACCGUAGAGCAAACAAGAUGUCUGAAAAGGCUAUUAAAUAGCCUUCCGGAAGCCCACAGCCACCUUGCUUGUUUCCUCAUUAGAUUUCUCGCCAAGGUGGCUGCAAAGAGUGAUGUGAAUCAGAUGACCCUGGAGAAUCUGGCCAUUGUGUUUGGCCCCACGUUAUUCCGGCAGAGGAUAUGCUUCACACCUCGCUGAGAAAAGUUCAAGUUUUUUUCAAGAAGAAUAUCUCUGCAGCCCUCUUCCUGAUUCCCUUCUGCACACAAAUCUGCAGCUGCCAUUUCUGAACACCCUUGCUUCAGAGAUGAAAACAAGGAAAACUACCCAGACAAAUCUGUAGUCCUAGAGGAAAGUCAGGCAGUGUUUCAAGACACGCUGACCCCCUGCGAUGGCACUCUAAGAGUGGGCAUGGGGAACUUAAAAUCCAGAAAGCCCACAUCCAUUCCAAAAACAGAAAAUGGGAAAACCCGUGAAGAA
Non-coding RNA from Thamnophis sirtalis, 902 nucleotides. The record is from RefSeq and is a predicted model, not a curated record. NCBI's taxonomy places the organism in Eukaryota, Metazoa, Chordata, Lepidosauria, Squamata, Natricidae.